Molecule: long non-coding RNA, 1614 nt
Organism: Manis javanica (Malayan pangolin)
Lineage: Eukaryota; Metazoa; Chordata; Mammalia; Pholidota; Manidae
Source: RefSeq, a predicted model, not a curated record
AUUUAGUAAUCAUUUAUUCAGUCAAUGCUCUGCAUUCAAAACCCUAAGAACACUUGCAUUUGAACUAGUCGGAUUCAUCAUUCCGUGUGGAGAGGGAGAACACACACUUGGGGAUGUGCAGAAUAUCUUAGUACAAGGGUUUGGAGAGCCUGUCACAGGAUGUGGGCUUUGCCCGGAUAAUUUGGGAGGGAAGACUUGCUCUGGACAGAGACCUGGGCCGCUCUGCGGCUGGGUGUCUCCACGGGGCUGCUGCACAGGGAGAUGGAGGCAGCCAGGACAAAGCUGUACGGUGAGGAAGCGCAGCAGCAGCUCCCGGGGUAGCGAGACAGGAGGAUGUUUCAUACUGUGCGGGGUGCACAGUGACCUUGCUUCAAGUGGAUAUUUUUGUGAGACUGCAGAACAGCCCAGCUUAGUUGUGAGCGGCUCGCAGUUACUGUGAGGCUGAGCUGUGAGGACAGCUGCAUCAGUUCCUGGCUGUCAGGCACUGCUUUAUUAUUUCGUUCUCAAUUAUAAGCCAGACACAGAUGAAAGGCUCAGGGUUUUAAGCAGUCAGAUGCCGUGCCAGUUAUCUAUUGCCUCUCAGCACCAAGCUCACUUGGUAACCCGGUCUCUGAUAACAGACUUGACUCAGCAUUGCCUUACAAUGAGCACAAUGUUAAGCUUUGCCAGCAGGGGGUGCUGGAGAGACGGGGCAGGAGGAUGGGCUUCUCUCUGAGAUUUGGGUGUGUCCUGUGCAGAGCUGUGCUUAUUCCGCUCCUCCUGCGAUGUUGGGUCAGUGGUGUGGAUCGUGCGGACAUCUGGAGUUCACUUCCCCAGCCACAUGCCCAGCGGGGGCCGUCUCAGGGACUGGGCUGGCAGCCACCUCCUAACACGGAUGCUGCACGCUCAGUUCUCACCUACAGCACCCCUCUCACCAGCCCCCCUGACUCGUGCCUGAGGUUUGUUUCCCACUUGCCCAGUGGCUGAGGAUCAGCUCUGGCCCAGAUGACCCACUGACCUUCUCCACCAUCCAAUGGGCUACAGCCACAUCGUCCUCAAUGAGUCCCUGCCACCUCAGAAAGAAGUAACACCUCAGCCUCUGAGCCCACCUACAACAGCUCCUUUUACACGAAAAGGAAGAGACUUCUGACCAUUACAUUUGGUGCUAAAAACAGACCCCAUGGAAAUACAGCCAUUGGGAGGAGCACAAGUCCCCGUCUGGGGAGACUUAAAAUCCCAGAAGACCUACCCUGUUCAAACAACUCAAAGACUGGCAUUAAUUAUAUCUGAAUAACAUUAAACACUCGAGAGCACCACACAUGGAGCAACAGACUAUUUGAGGCCAUGAUAAAUGGCGACUGAUGACGAAGAUGAAAGCGAAACCGCGAAGCUCGGCGUUAUUAUGCUGCUGGAAAUGUCUUUACAUUUCACGUCACCGAACAUGAGGUUUGGAAGGAACUAAGGUAGCUUCACUUAAUUACUUCUAUAUACGUUGACAAGAAUUAAAUUACUCUAUAUAUCUGGGUAGACUAAGAUCCAGGCUCAGGUAAAACACAUAAGCAUCUGGAUUUGCCAGGGGAGAAAAUGGUUCACUCCCAGUCUUGGGAAUAACUGUAUAAGGAAGGCCAGGGCAAG